RNAcentral lists this ribosomal RNA (253 nucleotides) under uncultured bacterium. RNAcentral describes it as "partial 16S ribosomal RNA". It matches the Rfam family "Bacterial small subunit ribosomal RNA", at positions 524 to 776 of the family's 1533-position model. The record is from RNAcentral.
UACAGAGGGUGCAAGCGUUAAUCGGAAUUACUGGGCGUAAAGAGCACGUAGGUGGUUUGGUAAGUCAGAUGUGAAAUCCCCGGGCUUAACCUGGGAACUGCAUUUGAUACUGCCUGGCUAGAGUUUAGUAGAGGGAAGUGGAAUUCCACAUGUAGCGGUGAAAUGCGUAGAGAUGUGGAGGAACACCGAUGGCGAAGGCAGCCCCCUGGGCUAACACUGACGCUCAGGCACGAAAGCGUGGGGAGCAAACAGG